UGGCUUAGCGGUAAAGAAUCUGCCUGCAACGCAGGAGACACAGGUUCAAUUCCUGG
RNAcentral lists this transfer RNA (56 nucleotides) under Bos indicus x Bos taurus (hybrid cattle). It matches the Rfam family "tRNA", at positions 8 to 63 of the family's 71-position model. Rfam says of the family: Transfer RNA (tRNA) molecules are approximately 80 nucleotides in length. Their secondary structure includes four short double-helical elements and three loops (D, anti-codon, and T loops). Lineage: Eukaryota; Metazoa; Chordata; Mammalia; Artiodactyla; Bovidae. The record is from Rfam by way of RNAcentral.